GUGCCAGCAGCCGCGGUAAUACGGAGGGUGCGAGCGUUAAUCGGAAUUACUGGGCGUAAAGGGCGCGUAGGCGGUCGCGCAANGUCGGGUGUGAAAGCCCCGGGCUCAACCUGGGAAUUGCAUUCGAUACUGCGUAACUAGAGUCUGGUAGAGGGAAGCGGAAUUCCGCAUGUAGCGGUGAAAUGCGUAGAUAUGCGGAGGAACACCAGUGGCGAAGGCGGCUUCCUGGACCAAGACUGACGCUGAGGCGCGAAAGCGUGGGGAGCAAACAGGAUUAGAUACCCUGGUAGUCCACGCCCUAAACGAUGAGGACUAGACGUUGGGGGGAUAAAACCCGUUUAGUGUCGCAGCUAACGCGUGAAGUCCUCCGCCUGGGGAGUACGGCCGCAAGGUUGAAACUUAAAUGAAUUGACGG
RNAcentral lists this ribosomal RNA (415 nucleotides) under uncultured bacterium. RNAcentral's name for it is "bacterial SSU rRNA". It matches the Rfam family "Bacterial small subunit ribosomal RNA", at positions 505 to 916 of the family's 1533-position model. The record is from RNAcentral.